CUGGGUUCUGUUGUUGGCAACCAACAGAGUUGUUGUCUUUUCUCGCAUUCAUUAAAAUGCACAAGAAGAAAUUUCUAAUGGUGAGGGAGUACUUGCUUCAAAUUCAUACUUCAGUGAAAUAAACAACACCAUACAUAGGAAUGUGAAAGCAAAGUCAUCAUACACUGUUUGCUUCAUUGUAUGAGAAUCAAUGUUUGCAUGAUAAACUGCCCUAAUGGAAGAGGACUCUGAGUUACCUUUUUCGAGCAAAGCCACCUAGGUUACUCUGUUUUCCCCAGAGUGACCCUUCUGUUCUGCAAAUUUUCAGAUUGAAGGGAGUAGCAGUAGAGUAUCAGAAGUAUCAGAAGCAAAAAAGUAAAUGUAUGAUUUGAAAUCUACUUAAAUGUACCAAUCACAGAGUCUUUUGGAACUUAAACAUCUUGACUCUUCUGUUUAAAGCCUAAAUCAACCUGAGAGAAGAGAUGAAACAACUGAGGGCCAAAAAGUUUACAAAAUUUUCCAAGAUCAUACAGCUAAUUAACAACAUCUGGGCUCUUCUUGACUUUUGGAAUCCAAAAGGUGCUACCAGCAUCCCAAGGUGUCCAGCUUGUAGACAGCCUGUCGUGGGACUUCUCAACCUCCAUAAUUGUAUAACCUCAAAGUAAUGGGAGAAGAUACACAAGUGAUCAUUGCCAGGACUGAAGACUGUUCCUAGGACUACUAUUUGGAUCAACAGAAGCUGAAAAUGAGAAUAUCAAAGGCUGGGCAGAUAGUUUCACUCACGGGCAUUGAUCAGGAUGGCUGGAGGUCACCUGCUGCAAGAAGCACUGUGUUUUCUGUGCAGCUUAAUGAGAGGGAGCAUAUCAUUUCAGGACUCUCACAGGAUGCAGUGUUACUGAGAAUCUCAUGAGGCAAAUCCUAAAUGCCAGGAUAAAUUUGCAGAGAUAGAACUACUACUUUUUUUUUUUAAAUUUCCUUUUGUUAUGACUUGAACGUGUAAGGUCAUGCUUCGAGCCUGCUAUCCUAUAGCUCUCAAUUCUAAACUAGUUGCAAGUAUAUUGGACUUCUUGCCCUGACCCCUGUCCCUUUGAUAGGCCAGGUGAAUCCAAAUAUGCCCGAGUGCAUCUCACAGAAUACAUCUGAUUCUAGGAUGGGACUAGAGGUCUCCUGGUAUUUAGAACUGCAAAAUGAGGUAGCAAAAGCUCUAGUCAUAUGCCUCCCAUUUAUUUGACAUAUCAUCACAAACAUGUCCAUAAUUUACCAAGGUUGAUCCACUGCCUACUACAUUUGUGUGUGAAAAUGUGUCAUGCUUUGUGGAAAAAGUGAAAAUAGUUAUCUGUAUGGUGGGUGCACUUUGAGUGACUGGGGUGGGGUAUGAGCACUGUCUUACAAAAAAGUCAAGAGUAAUAUCUGACAAAGAUACUGUCCUUUACCCUGGAUACCAACAGAUGUUCUUGUUUUCAUUCAAAAUUACAAUUAUCAUUGAAGUGCACAGUGGCUUUUAAUUGAGACAGAUAAAACGUAACUUCAAGUAUUGAAGUAAUUUUUUUUUACUGUUUUUAAGACAACUGAAGAUCUGAGCAAUUCUUGGCAUGACUUUUCUCCAUUCAGUUUAGAUUUUUGUGAUAAAAGGCGACUAUAAUAAAGAGAAUGGUAAAGGAAAAUAUCUAACAUGGAAUUUAUAUCUAAUCUUCUUGAAAGUUAUGAACACUUGUUAAUCCUUAAUUUCAACUCUUGAGAUUUCAUCUGAUUUGAGAUAUUCCU
Molecule: long non-coding RNA, 1743 nt
Filed under: Homo sapiens (human)
Lineage: Eukaryota; Metazoa; Chordata; Mammalia; Primates; Hominidae
Description: HSALNT0313012
Source: RNAcentral